Molecule: ribosomal RNA, 243 nt
Filed under: uncultured Actinomycetales bacterium
Lineage: Bacteria; Bacillati; Actinomycetota; Actinomycetes; Actinomycetales
Description: partial 16S ribosomal RNA
Rfam family: Bacterial small subunit ribosomal RNA
Source: RNAcentral
UACUCGAGUGGCGAACGGGUGAGUAACACGUGGGUGAUCUGCCCUGCACUUAGGGAUAAGCUUGGGAAACUGGGUCUAAUACCGGAUAGGAGCCAUCUUUAGUGUGGUGGUUGGAAAGUUUUUUCGGUGUAGGAUGAGCUCGCGGCCUAUCAGCUUGUUGGUGGGGUAAUGGCCUACCAAGGCGGCGACGGGUAGCCGGCCUGAGAGGGUGUACGGCCACAUUGGGACUGAGAUACGGCCCAG